AUGAGAUUUGUGCAUUUGCUUAGAGCUGUUGGCAGCUCCCCUGACAUAUUGUUGUGUUCCAAAUGCAGCUCCUCCAAUCUCUUCAAAUCACCUAUAGACUCUGGAAUGUUGCCACUGAAACCAUUCCCCCCAAGAUCAAGGGUGACCAGAUUUGUGAGCUUGCCGAUGCCAUUGACAGGUCCGUCUAACCAAUUGUUAGGCAAAGAGAGGUGCUCUAACAAGGUGACAUUGAAGAGCUCGCCUAGAAGAGUCCCACAGAGGUUGUUGUAG
RNAcentral lists this ribosomal RNA (270 nucleotides) under Triticum aestivum (bread wheat). Its description in RNAcentral is "partial small subunit ribosomal RNA". Lineage: Eukaryota; Viridiplantae; Streptophyta; Magnoliopsida; Poales; Poaceae. The record is from RNAcentral.